GUAGGUGGCAAGCGUUGUCCGGAAUUAUUGGGCGUAAAGCGCGCGCAGGGCGGUCCUUUAAGUCUGAUGUGAAAGCCCACGGCUCAACCGUGGAGGGUCAUUGGAAACUGGGGGACUUGAGUACAGAAGAGGAAAGCGGAAUUCCAAGUGUAGCGGUGAAAUGCGUAGAGAUUUGGAGGAACACCAGUGGCGAAGGCGGCUUUCUGGCCUGUAACUGACGCUGAGGCGCGAAAGCGUGGGGAGCAAACAGGAUUAGAUACCCUGGUAGUCCACGCCGUAAACGAUGAGUGCUAAGUGUUAGGGGGUUUCCGCCCCUUAGUGCUGCAGCUAACGCAUUAAGCACUCCGCCUGGGGAGUACGGCCGCAAAGGCUG
This 373-nucleotide ribosomal RNA is filed under the name uncultured organism. RNAcentral's name for it is "partial 16S ribosomal RNA". It matches the Rfam family "Bacterial small subunit ribosomal RNA", at positions 527 to 896 of the family's 1533-position model. The record is from RNAcentral.